GCGAGGAUGGUGGAACUGGCAGACACGCAAGGUUGAGGGCCUUGUGGACGUUAUAGUCCUUGGGGGUUCGACUCCCCCUCCUCGCACCA
RNAcentral lists this transfer RNA (89 nucleotides) under Candidatus Omnitrophota bacterium. RNAcentral describes it as "Candidatus Omnitrophica bacterium tRNA-Leu". It matches the Rfam family "tRNA". Rfam says of the family: Transfer RNA (tRNA) molecules are approximately 80 nucleotides in length. Their secondary structure includes four short double-helical elements and three loops (D, anti-codon, and T loops). The record is from RNAcentral. Lineage: Bacteria; Pseudomonadati; Candidatus Omnitrophota.